AAGCGGAGAGAGCCGGGAAGGGAACUGCGCAACGCGGAGGCGUCGGGGAGCAACUCCUCCGUGCACGUCUGCGUCGCUUUGCAAUGCGCCCCAGUUUCCUGGAGGCCGUUGGGAGAGCUGAUCGCCGAUGCCAGGCACACCCCGAGGGGGGGAAAGGGUUUCCAAACGGUUGGCCUAGUUAGUUCUCGAUUGCUAGGAUUGCCCUGGCAUUGGGUUCGGACCAUAAAUGCCUCCUCUUCUUUCCAACAAGAUAUACUGAACUGGAGUCUUUCUACAGGAGACACCUGGCACCCCGAAGAACAGCAUUCCUUCAAUUCUGUAUCGAGAGCUGCUGUAGCACGGUGGUUAAGUGGUUUGGCUGUGAAUCAGCACUCUACUGGUUUGAAUCCCACUACUGCCAUGAGCUCAGUCGGUGGCCCUUGGGAGAACAGGGAAAAUUCAAGGAAAGGGCCUGGACUAUCUCUGAUAUAGCCAGAUGUUGCACAUCGCUGCACUCAUCCAAAACAAAGACCCAAAAAUAAAAGCUGAGUAAUACUUUUUAUUACGACUAAUCCAAAGGAUAUCCAACAAUGUACAAGCUUUUGAGUUUUCCAGAAUUCUUCAGCAGGCUGGAUUUUUUAAAAAACGGAAGUAUGUGUGUGUGUGCGGGGGGGAGAUAUCUUAGGCCUUGAUCUUAAGGCUUUGUCUUGUGUGAAACGUUGAGCAGGUGUAUAGAUUUAAAAUGGUGCUGAUGUCAGGUUAUACCCUUGGUCUUCUGAGAGGAAGAAGCAAAGAAGGGAAGCAUCUUGCUGAAAAUACCAAACACAGCUGUCAAUCAAAUGUCUCUCUAAAACCACAUGAAACACAGAUCUCUUAGAAGGCAGUGGGAAAAGAGGAAAUCGCCAGGUUCUCAUAAGCUUGUGGAUAUGGCCCUGUUUGCUCUCCUUCUGAGCUUUGAAAACAAAUAGUAAGUUAGGAGAUUACGUUAUUUUGUUAAAAUUGAGUGUUAUAGUCUAACAAAUGUCCUUUAUUAUUUUUAGCAUAUGGUUGUGGGGAGGCAGAAGUCAUAGCAUUUCCACAGUUCCUUAUAGGGAUGCCCCACUCAUGGAACACUGGCGGCUUUCCCCCACUAUUCCAGAGGCCUCCAUUUGCAAAACUUGCAGGCUGCUUGGUUUCCGGUUUUUUGGCGCCUGUUCUAGGAACGCGCGUUCCCUCGUCUUUUCUUUUGUCACAGGCUGAUGGAGCGCUUCUUCUGCGUUCUUGGGCUUGCACAUGGUUAAAGUGCUGUGAGGAAUCGUCCCAUCACAGCCCAACUCCUCCCCCAAAGCUCUCAGCAUGCAAUUGCACACGGGAAGGGCAAAAAAAAAAACAUUUGAAAGGGAAGCUGGCGACGAUGAUAAAAGUGCCCGACCUUCCCUCCCAAAUCGCAAGGCUCCACCCCUCAAAUCUCCAGGAAUUUCCCAAUCGGGAGCUGGCAACCCUAGUUCCAGCCUCAUAACAUUCAUAUUCACAUGAGUGAGUGAAGGCAGCCCAAAAGAGAAGAAUGUUGGAAACCGGUGACACAAAUAUUCAAAACACAUGACUAGAGACAAAAAUCAUGGUAGGUUAACACUUUUAUCGUACCACUUUUGGGGUGGGGGAGGUAUCUGUCCCUAGCCACAACUUCUGCUUGUUACAAGCUCCACAUUGGAGCCAGACUUGACUCACAUUUGCCUUGUAAAUAAAUCCACUGCAACCAAGUCAUAAAAGCCGGAAGCACUAAAACAAAUAAAAAAGCCCAAAUAAAAAUAAUCCUUUAUGAUCUCUAUUGUCAACAGG
This is a long non-coding RNA of Eublepharis macularius, 1797 nucleotides long. RefSeq lists it as uncharacterized. NCBI's taxonomy places the organism in Eukaryota, Metazoa, Chordata, Lepidosauria, Squamata, Eublepharidae. The record is from RefSeq and is a predicted model, not a curated record. The transcript has 4 exons.